UUCACUUUAGUACCAUAUGAUUUAAAGUGUAUUAAUUUGUCUUCCUGUGGUUUUGUUUUUAUCUUUUUGGCAGCUUUUUUUUAAUAUUUCGUUAAAUUAUAUACAAAAAACUUCAGAUACCCAUCUAGAUUUAUCGAAUAUUUUAUUUAGUACCUUUUAAUUUUAACUUUGUCACUGAUUUAAGAAAAAAAAUUGAUAAUAAAAAGAGAAAAACGAAACCACAGGGGACAAAUUGAUGCACUUUAAAUCAUAGGGUACUAAAGUGAGAAAGUACGAAACAACAGGGGUUUUUUUGAAGUUAU
This 302-nucleotide long non-coding RNA is filed under the name Ananas comosus (pineapple). RNAcentral describes it as "long non-coding RNA (ACOM_LNC004792)". Lineage: Eukaryota; Viridiplantae; Streptophyta; Magnoliopsida; Poales; Bromeliaceae. The record is from RNAcentral.